AUGCUGCCGCUGUCGUCGAUGCUGUCGCAAGUGCAAGCUGCGAGCCCGAGCUGGCCCUGGAGGCGAAAGGCAGACUGGUGGGCCAAGGAAGGAACCUGAGCCCCAGGUGCAUCACGGGAGACCAGGCCCCCUGGCCCAUCCCCGCCUCUCUAAGGACAUCUUGGUGUGGACAGGACUGGACAGAAUGAGUCGGGGCCUGUUUGACUUGAGAAAACAGAUGUUUCCCAACCCAGCUUCUGUCAGCAAAAGCGUCCAAAGCAGCAGAAUCGAAUUACCCAAUGACCUGCCAAGUACAGUGCAGGGGGAAAUUAACUGGCAUAAUUCAUUAGCUGGAUGGAUGGUACCAGUGUCGCACCUCUCCCACGAGACCGAGAAUCCUCUUCCCCAUCUUCAGAGGAGGCAUUUACGGCCAGAUACCCGGUGGAGGGUUCUGGGGGUUCUCUGGCCAUCUCGGGCUAGGUGGAGGAUGCUGCCCCUCCGCGGGUCCACCCCAUGCUUCACGGACAGAGUCAAGUGAG
This is a long non-coding RNA of Ornithorhynchus anatinus (platypus), 518 nucleotides long. RefSeq lists it as uncharacterized. NCBI's taxonomy places the organism in Eukaryota, Metazoa, Chordata, Mammalia, Monotremata, Ornithorhynchidae. The record is from RefSeq and is a predicted model, not a curated record. The transcript has 4 exons.